This 497-nucleotide ribosomal RNA is filed under the name uncultured bacterium. RNAcentral's name for it is "partial 16S ribosomal RNA". It matches the Rfam family "Bacterial small subunit ribosomal RNA", at positions 28 to 507 of the family's 1533-position model. The record is from RNAcentral.
GAUGAACGCUGGCGGCGUGCCUAAUACAUGCAAGUCGAGCGAACGGACGAGAAGCUUGCUUCUCUGAUGUUAGCGGCGGACGGGUGAGUAACACGUGGAUAACCUACCUAUAAGACUGGGAUAACUUCGGGAAACCGGAGCUAAUACCGGAUAAUAUUUUGAACCGCAUGGUUCAAAAGUAAAAGACGGUCUUGCUGUCACUUAUAGAUGGAUCCGCGCUGCAUUAGCUAGUUGGUAAGGUAACGGCUUACCAAGGCAACGAUGCAUAGCCGACCUGAGAGGGUGAUAGGCCACACUGGAACUGAGACACGGUCCAGACUCCUACGGGAGGCAGCAGUAGGGAAUCUUACGCAAUGGGCGAAAGCCUGACGGAGCAACGCCGCGUGAGUGAUGAAGGUCUUCGGAUCGUAAAACUCUGUUAUUAGGGAAGAACAUAUGUGUAAGUAACUGUGCACAUCUUGACGGUACCUAAUCAGAAAGCCACGGCUAACUACGUG